RNAcentral lists this ribosomal RNA (444 nucleotides) under uncultured bacterium. Its description in RNAcentral is "bacterial SSU rRNA". It matches the Rfam family "Bacterial small subunit ribosomal RNA", at positions 28 to 507 of the family's 1533-position model. The record is from RNAcentral.
GAUGAACGCUGGCGGUAUGCCUAACACAUGCAAGUCGUACGAGAGUUUUUAACUCUAGUGGCGGACGGGUGAGUAACACGUGAGAAUUUGCCUUUAGGAGGGGGACAACAAUUGGAAACGAAUGCUAAUACCCCAUAUGCUUUCGAGUGAAAUGGAUUUUAUCCGCCUAGAGAGAAGCUCGCGGCUGAUUAGCUUGUUGGUAAGGUAAGAGCUUACCAAGGCGACGAUCAGUAUCUGGUUUGAGAGGACGAUCAGACACACUGGAACUGAGACACGGUCCAGACUCCUACGGGAGGCAGCAGUGGGGAAUUUUCCGCAAUGGGCGAAAGCCUGACGGAGCAAUACCGCGUGAGGGAAGAAUGCCUAUGGGUUGUAAACCUCUUUUUCUAGGGAGGAAGUAAAAUAGACGUGUACCUGAAGAAUAAGCAUCGGCUAACUACCGUG